Paenibacillus stellifer is the source of this 151-nucleotide regulatory RNA element. It matches the Rfam family "Ribosomal protein L10 leader". Rfam says of the family: This family is a putative r-protein leader autoregulatory structure found in B. subtilis and other low-GC Gram-positive bacteria. It is located in the 5' untranslated regions of mRNAs encoding ribosomal proteins L10 and L12 (rplJ-rplL). The record is from Rfam. NCBI's taxonomy places the organism in Bacteria, Bacillati, Bacillota, Bacilli, Caryophanales, Paenibacillaceae.
UAACAUCGAAUAUGCUUACCGUAGACAGUAGGUGCCGAAAGGCUUAAUUUCCUACCGAGGUGUUCUGAUAGAAACAUAAGGAACGGUUAUGCCGUCAGCCUAUCGUUUUAUCAAGCCUUCGCAAAUCUGCGGAGGCUUUUCUAUUGCGCGU